CAUUACCUAGAGUUUGUAGACUUCGGUCUGCUACCUCUUACCCAUGUCUUUUGAGUACCUUCGUUUCCUCGGCGGGUCCGCCCGCCGAUUGGACAACAUUCAAACCCUUUGCAGUUGCAAUCAGCGUCUGAAAAAACAUAAUAGUUACAACUUUCAACAACGGAUCUCUUGGUUCUGGCAUCGAUGAAGAACGCAGCGAAAUGCGAUAAGUAGUGUGAAUUGCAGAAUUCAGUGAAUCAUCGAAUCUUUGAACGCACAUUGCGCCCCUUGGUAUUCCAUGGGGCAUGCCUGUUCGAGCGUCAUUUGUACCUUCAAGCUCUGCUUGGUGUUGGGUGUUUGUCUCGCCUCCGCGUGUAGACUCGCCUUAAAACAAUUGGCAGCCGGCGUGUUGAUUUCGGAGCGCAGUACAUCUCGCGCUUUGCACUCAUAACGACGACGUCCAAAAGUACAUUUUUACACUCUUGACCUCGGAUCAGGUAGGGAUACCCGCUGAACUUAAGCAUAUCAAUAGCC
This 513-nucleotide ribosomal RNA is filed under the name Epicoccum sp. UASWS1117. RNAcentral describes it as "eukaryotic LSU rRNA". The stretch from base 149 to 302 matches the Rfam family "5.8S ribosomal RNA". Lineage: Eukaryota; Fungi; Ascomycota; Dothideomycetes; Pleosporales; Didymellaceae. The record is from RNAcentral.